RNAcentral lists this long non-coding RNA (635 nucleotides) under Pan troglodytes (chimpanzee). Its description in RNAcentral is "lincRNA". Lineage: Eukaryota; Metazoa; Chordata; Mammalia; Primates; Hominidae. The record is from RNAcentral.
CUUAGCUCUUAAGCCACUGCUGAUCUUCUUAGAACCACACACCGCAGGUGCUUCCCUGUGGAAACUGCAAAUGUUUACUCUGUCUUCCCCCUUUGAAUGACUUAGAACAUGUUGUGGCUAAGGUUCAUUCGUUAUCAACAUUCAGAAACUGCCAUUUCCUUUUCUACCUGCAAAGCCUAAUAAUAACUUUUUAAACUAUUGCUUCCUUUGCAUAUUCACCAUACAUCCUGCUUUCAGAUGUGGAAUCUAAAACCUUGCUGAGAAACUGCCUCCAAUGUUGCUCCCUUAACUUUCACUGUGGAAAACUCUGAAGGAAGUUGGCUGCACCAUUUAAUGGAAGCAUGAGGAACUAGUCUCUUUCCUUUAGAUACGUAUGAAAAUGGCUCCACUGUGACUCAGCAGAUCUCCAGGAUUUUCCUGUGUAGUUUCUGUUUUGGCUUUCAUCUGGUGGGAACUGACUGCUACAGGACCGAGGCUUUUAAAUCAAACCCAAAUAACAAAAUGUAUUUAGAGCUGAAAAAGGUGGUGCCAUCAGGCUGGGGUGGGGAUGAGGAAGUGAUUCAUUACCCCAGUUGGAAUGUAAAUUCAAUGAGUUUAAUUACUAGUGGUGUCAAAAAAGGAUUUUCACUGAUAGC